CCUACGGGUGGCAGCAGUGAGGAAUAUUGGUCAAUGGGCGAGAGCCUGAACCAGCCAAGUCGCGUGAGGGAGUACUGCCCUAUGGGUUGUAAACCUCUUUUGUCGGGGAGCAAAAGCUGGACGUGUCCGGCUGUGAGAGUACCCGAAGAAAAAGCAUCGGCUAACUCCGUGCCAGCAGCCGCGGUAAUACGGAGGAUGCGAGGGUUAUCCGGAUUUAUUGGGUUUAAAGGGUGCGCAGGCGGAUUUUAAAGUCAGCGGUAAAAUCGUGGGGCUCAACCCCAUCCAGCCGUUGAAACUGGGGAUCUAGAGUGUGCGAGAGGUAUGCGGAAUGCGUGGUGUAGCGGUGAAAUGCAUAGAUAUCACGCAGAACCCCGAUUGCGAAGGCAGCAUACCGGUGCACAACUGACGCUCAGGCACGAAAGCGUGGGUAUCGAACAGGAUUAGAUACCCCAGUAGUC
This 458-nucleotide ribosomal RNA is filed under the name uncultured bacterium. RNAcentral describes it as "partial 16S ribosomal RNA". It matches the Rfam family "Bacterial small subunit ribosomal RNA", at positions 338 to 795 of the family's 1533-position model. The record is from RNAcentral.